Long non-coding RNA from Dioscorea cayenensis subsp. rotundata (Guinea yam), 499 nucleotides. RefSeq lists it as uncharacterized. The record is from RefSeq and is a predicted model, not a curated record. Lineage: Eukaryota; Viridiplantae; Streptophyta; Magnoliopsida; Dioscoreales; Dioscoreaceae. The transcript has 3 exons.
AGUUCGGGUUGGUGAGGGCAAAGCACCAUAGCCAUAGAUUCCAUGAAGCCCCUUCCUCUCCUGCUCUCUCUCCAAGCCCUAGACCCAACCAUGGCGGGCAUCUCCUCUCAAUGCCUCACCACCACUACAUCUGUGGCGCUACUCACAGAGCCACCCUCAAAUCACCGAAGCCAUCCUCCUUAGACACUGUCUUGGUCGCGGUUGACUCUGAUUCCGGGUUUUGAGGCUUCAACCUGGACAAAAAUAUUGUCUACUUGGAUGGCUUUCCAAGGAGGUUGGAUGGAACCACUAUGAUACCAUCAAGGAGAAUUCAUUGUUAAAGAUCGAGAGGGUUGAAGAUAAAGAGGAUACAUGGAGCUUUUUUUACUUUGAGUAAUCAAACCAAAAAUUAUUUUGCAGUAAAAGUAGACAAAUAGUGUAAAACUCUUUACAUUUUGUUAUUAAUCAGAAUACAUUACACUUGAGCUCAUUACUUGUCAAUAAAAGUCAAUGAAAUUAA